Molecule: long non-coding RNA, 729 nt
Organism: Carassius auratus (goldfish)
Lineage: Eukaryota; Metazoa; Chordata; Actinopteri; Cypriniformes; Cyprinidae
Exons: 2
Source: RefSeq, a predicted model, not a curated record
GCAUCACAGAAAUACAUUAUAUUUUAAAGGAUAUUAGAGUAGAAACCAUUAUUUUAUAUUGUAAUAACAUUUUGAAAGAUUACUGUUUUCUUUUCUGUGUUUUUGAUCACAGGGUCCCCGCGGGUCCUUAAAAAGCCUUGAAAAGUCUUAAAUACAAUUUUCGAUUUUUAAGGUCUGAAAAUGUCUUGAAUCCUGGAAUUUUCCAUAUGAAUGUCUUAAAUUUCAUGUGGGAUCUUAAAUUUCAUGUCCGACUCGUCAUUUUUAUUUAUUUUUUUCAACCGCAAUUUGACCAGCGUAACAUUUGGGGGCAGCACUUCGUGGGUGCAACCUGCAUCAUUCCAUAGGUGACAUACGAGUAAGUGAUUGAUGAACGCGUUGCGAUGAUGGUUCGCCACCACGGCAGUUUGCGAAAUCGCAAGCAUGGGCAAAGACGAUAAAGCUGUGGACAAGACCACGAUUGUCAGGUCUCGCUAUCUUGGUUCUCAGUUUUUGAGCCCCUCAACGGCAGAAGACUUGCUGUAGCACUUUAAGGAGGGCACCAAGGAACUUAAUUUAAGGAACAUGCUUUCUGUGUCAAUGGAUCCACAGUAAAUUGGAAAGUCAUGGAUCUCCUACAACUGGAACAUGCAAUAAAUUUCUGAUCCUGAUCUUUCCUACAAUUGUCUGUCAUUCAUUAGGUCUAUGCAUAGAUUAUUGAAUGUGCUUGCAUUUAUCUGUGUCUGAAAUGAC